Canis lupus familiaris (dog) is the source of this 739-nucleotide long non-coding RNA. RefSeq lists it as uncharacterized. The record is from RefSeq and is a predicted model, not a curated record. The transcript has 6 exons. NCBI's taxonomy places the organism in Eukaryota, Metazoa, Chordata, Mammalia, Carnivora, Canidae.
CAAAUGGCAUGUUGUGAGAAGGCCUCAUUCUGUGUGAAGGCCACGUGACCUGGGGACUGAGGCACUCUUCUUGAUAUUCCUAGAUUGCUUUCCAUCGAAUUAGAAGCACCUCUUCCACAGAUUCACUUCUGCUAAUGGUAUUUUAGCUCAACACAAGCUUCAUCCAAUUUAUAUCAUCUUAUCUGUUUAAUGGUUAUGCUCUUUGACCCCUGGAUUCCAUCACUUUUUCCAGAAUGCUGUGUUUUGCAUGUUCAUAUGACUCUUAUGAUAUAGACAGAAGACCAUGCUGUUUGAAUUGUUUUUCUACAGGUAAAGAAAACCAAUUUUCAAGGACUUAAGCACCAAUUAUCAUUCCUCUUUUAUUCGACAAGCAUUGGCUAAUCACCUAUUUUAUCUAUUUUAUCUUGGACUUUAUGCUAUGAAUCACUAAGAUCACUCUUCUCAGGUGAUGCUCCCCCAAAACGUUUGAAAAUCAAGCAAGAUACUGUUAUCGAAAGCAUCAGAAAGCUGUUGUCCAGACUGUGUGUUUUACUUGCCUAAGAUGUCCAGGAGGAAGAUUACUCUGUUUCUUCUGAGAGAAAACCAAUCAACCGACCAACCUGUGAUUUCUAGGCAAUCUUCAAAACGAGAAGCUUUGAACAAGAAAAUGUGUUGACAUUAUAGUUCAUCCAUUUUGAAUGUAAUCUAUCUCCGAGGCGAUGAUAUACAUAUCGUUGUUACCUACCGAAGAGCAAAUAAA